AACGAACGCUGGCGGCAUGCCUAACACAUGCAAGUCGAACGAGACCUUCGGGUCUAGUGGCGCACGGGUGCGUAACGCGUGGGAACCUGCCCUUAGGUUCGGAAUAACUCCCCGAAAGGGGUGCUAAUACCGGAUAAUGUCUUCGGACCAAAGAUUUAUCGCCUUUGGGUGGGCCCGCGUUGGCUUAGCUCGUUGGUAGGGUAACAGCCUACCAAGGCGACGAUCCAUAGCUGGUCUGAGAGGAUGAUCAGCCACACUGGGACUGAGACACGGCCCAGACUCCGACGGGAGGGAGCAGUGGGGAAUAGUGGAGAAUGGGGGAAAGCCUGAUGGAGCAAUGACGGGUGAGUGAUGAAGGGGUUAGGGUUGUAAAGCUCUUUUACCCGGGAUGAUAAUGACAGUAACGGGAGAAUAAGCGCCGGCUAACUCCGUG
This 433-nucleotide ribosomal RNA is filed under the name uncultured bacterium. Its description in RNAcentral is "partial 16S ribosomal RNA". It matches the Rfam family "Bacterial small subunit ribosomal RNA", at positions 29 to 507 of the family's 1533-position model. The record is from RNAcentral.